RNAcentral lists this long non-coding RNA (1086 nucleotides) under Vulpes vulpes (red fox). RNAcentral's name for it is "lncRNA (ENSVVUG00000003238.1)". Lineage: Eukaryota; Metazoa; Chordata; Mammalia; Carnivora; Canidae. The record is from RNAcentral.
GGAAGACAGGUUUCUACCUAGUAUAAGGAAGCCCUUUCUGACAACUAGAGGUCCCCAGAGGGCCCAGGUGAGAAAGUCACCAUCACUGAGGACCUCGGGCUGACACUGGAUCAGUAUCUAGGGGGGCCGCUGCCGAGGUUGGGAGAUUGGGUCCGUGACCCUGAGAUUCAAUGGUUUGGGGCACUUGGUAUAUCCAGAAGCAGGACAAGGCCUAGCAGCUGUUCACCAGCUGCCUUCCAUGUGGCCAUCUUGCAGUUUAUUCCCAGAUGGUCAGACCCCUCACCCUCCGAGGUCACAGGGCCAGCUGCAGGGGAGUGGGCCAGCCCUUCUUCGCUCUGGGAGCCCUCGGGCGGGCAGGACGCAGAGAGGAGGAGAGAGAUGAAGCCGAGAGCCCCUCUGGUGCGAGGCCACAGUUAACAGGCAGCUGGAAGGGAAAACAAAAGGAGUGACUGACGGGCACACACUCACCUGGCUUCCUACACAUCAGCAAGAUAUGUGUUUCUUGCCAAAGAGCAUCCGGGGAUCCCAGAGGUAAUUGUUUUCCCUGAGCCCACAUACAUAGUGGCUUUUUAUAUACUAUAUACUUUAUACUUUAUACUCUAGGGAUUUUUUUUCUCUUCUCUUUUCAGCCUGUGCACCACUCCUCCCCACCCCCCGGAGCGUCUUCUCUCCUCUUCUUCCCAGGCUAACAUCCUACCAUCUGCUCCCAAGAUGACCGAUAUUGCCCACCUUACUUCCCUGGGGAUGGAUGGGUCCAGGACUCAUCCCUCCCCCAGGUGCUAUAAUUUGAGGCGCUGCCCAGCUGGAAUGGACCCGGGGCCUCCCCAGGCUGCCCUCCCGCCACUGUGAGUUGGCUGGCCUCUGCCCUCUGCCCUCUUCUGCCAUUAACCCUGUCACCUGCCGGACAUCAGCCCCCGGGCCCAGUCUGUCAUCCGUGGCCAAAGAUGGAUGGGGGGCGGCUGGGAAGCAUAAGUGGCGACCCCUUAAUGAGAUCUGGCGGGGGAGGGCUGGGCUCUCCCAGGCAGCAGCAGGGCCAGGUUGGCAAUAACGGCCCUUGUUGAGCGUGACCCAUUUUGCUUCUGUGGA